Eptesicus fuscus (big brown bat) is the source of this 1068-nucleotide long non-coding RNA. RefSeq lists it as uncharacterized. The transcript is spliced from 3 exons. The record is from RefSeq and is a predicted model, not a curated record. NCBI's taxonomy places the organism in Eukaryota, Metazoa, Chordata, Mammalia, Chiroptera, Vespertilionidae.
GGGCCGCGUGUCAAGGCGCCCGCCUCCCCCAGCGCCCGGCGCCGGUCGGAGCGAGUCAGGAAAGGGCUCCAGAGCCCCGGGCCGGCCCGCCGUCCUCAGGCCCGUCCUCCCGCCGUCUCCGCGCCUCCUCCCUGCCCAUCAGCCUCCAAGCCCAAACCAGGCCGCGCAUCCCACCCGCAGGCGGAGGCUGGAGCAAUUCCAGGCGGACGGGGCCGAGGGGGCACCGCACAGCCCAGAGCUUCCUGGGGAGUGGGGUCCUGGGAAUCGGGGUCCUGGGCCCCCGGCCUCGUGUCCACCCCGCUGGCCCUGCCCGUCCAGCAGCGGAUGGGCAGCCCCUCUCCACUCGCUUCUAAAAUGUCAGCUAGAAAGAUGGCAGAGUUUAACGCUUACUCCCUUCACGGUCCCGCUGGAAGGCCACCUCUGCAAUGGAGCAGGGAUGGAGAACACGUGUCCAGGGCUCACAGGUGGGUGUGCAGGCCGGGCGCCCUCACCUGUCAGGGCCAAGCCUUCCCCGCCGCAAGGAGGAGUCAGAAGCCCUCCUGUGGGUUGAGGAGAGGGCAGCCUCUGGACGGAACCGAGCCCAGGGGAGCAGCGCCAUCCUUGGAGAGGCCAAGCCCGCGCUGGUGCACCUGCCAGGUGUGGGAGGUCAGCGGGAUCUACAGGCACUGAGCACCCACUGUGCAAGGCACUGGGUGUUGGGUGCCCUACGUGAUCUCAUUUUGCUCUCAAGCCACCGGGUGAGGAUUCAUCAAGACUCCAGACGCCAUGAAGAGGAAAUAUGAAUUGGACCUCAACCUUCCCUGAAAGUAGAGACACCUCUGGGCCAGAUCCUGGGGCACGCUCUCAGCAUCUUCCUUCAGUCCUGCACCCCGAUCUGAGCACCCCCCAAGGCCCUGGGACAGUCAACAAGUCUCCCUCCCAAUUUCAUAGACUCAGGGCCAACAAGAUGCUUGCUCAGUGCGAAAGGCAGAAAAUGUUCAGAUUUAUUGCUUUGAGAGUUCGGUCUGUCUCCUGGGCCUGGUUGACGCAGCUUCCUUCAGGUUUCAGAGCAUUUUGUUAAAAAAAAAA